Molecule: ribosomal RNA, 569 nt
Filed under: uncultured Alphaproteobacteria bacterium
Lineage: Bacteria; Pseudomonadati; Pseudomonadota; Alphaproteobacteria
Description: bacterial SSU rRNA
Rfam family: Bacterial small subunit ribosomal RNA
Source: RNAcentral
CUUGGGUAAGGAAUAACGUAGAGAAAUUUGCGCUAAUACCUUAUAAUGACUUCGGUCCAAAGAUUUAUCGCCCAAGAAUGAGCCCGCGCCUGAUUAGUUUGUUGGUGAGGUAAAAGCUCACCAAGACGACGAUCAGUAGCUGGUCUGAGAGGAUGAUCAGCCACACUGGAACUGAGACACGGUCCAGACUCCUACGGGAGGCAGCAGUGAGGAAUAUUGCGCAAUGGGGGAAACCCUGACGCAGCCAUGCCGCGUGAGUGACGAAGGCCCUAGGGUUGUAAAGCUCUUUCAGAUGCGAAGAUAAUGACGGUAACAUCAGAAGAAGCUCCGGCUAAAUUCGUGCCAGCAGCCGCGGUAAUACGAAUGGAGCGAGCGUUGUUCGGAAUCACUGGGCGUAAAGCGUAUGUAGGCGGGACAGAAAGUCAGAAGUGAAAUCCCAGGGCUCAACCCUGGAAUUGCUUUUGAAACUUCUGUUCUUGAGUCCCGGAGGGGCCAGCGGAAUUCCGAGUGUAGAGGUGAAAUUCGCAGAUAUUCGGAGGAACACCAGUGGCGUAGGCGGCUGGCUGGAC